Molecule: long non-coding RNA, 1102 nt
Organism: Manis pentadactyla (Chinese pangolin)
Lineage: Eukaryota; Metazoa; Chordata; Mammalia; Pholidota; Manidae
Exons: 3
Source: RefSeq, a predicted model, not a curated record
UUUGGGGGCCCCCAACCUGAUUGUUGAGGGGCCUGCAUAUAUAAGCAUCUGCAUGUUCCUUUCAGGCAGAAAGUCAAGCCAACUUCAGAUGAUACAAAAUAGGGCAAGAAGACAAUCUCUGUUCCAGGGAGAGAAAGGAUAGGCAACCAGCGGGUACUGGAAAGUGAAUUCACUAGCCACAAUUCAAACAUCGAAUCUUUACAAAUAUGAUUUGCCUACCAGUUUGAAAGGAAGGUCCAAUGUGACAUUUUAUCUUUUUCUCUCCGCAGGCAGCACAGAGAUCUGGGAGAGCUGACUUUGGUAACAAUUCUCACCCUUUGCCAGCUUCUGCCAAUAUUUCAGGAUCCCGUUUGCAAGCUCUGGAGCGAGUGCGGUGUCCCAGUGGAUCUUGUGUCAGAGCCAGCCUGACUCGUGCCGGUUUGGUCCCAGUCUGGGAAAAGAAAUGCUCCAAUGAAGCCUGAAAGCUCCUAAUGGCAAAGCUGCAGGGCUAGGAUGUGUGCUCCAGAAGCAGCGAGACCUCCAGAGGCAGCGAGAAGGCCGCAAGCUCAGGGGGCUCAACAGGUGAGCAUUAUUAUUUCCCCUCUUGAGAUAAGGAUACCCAGGUUCAGAGAAUUUAACUAAUUGACCACGGCCACAUGACUGAAGACAACAGAGCCGGGGUUUGAACCACAAAAUCUUGAUCCAGAGCACCUACGCUCAACUGCCUUGGAAAAAUCUCUACACAUGUGUGCAGGAUUAAGACACAGAGUAUGCCCAGGAUAUAGACACAGAAAUGAAAUUGUUGGAUUACAAAGUGUGAGAAUUUUCCUAAUUUUAAAGUCGUUGUGCCAGCUUCUAUUCUCAAUUCUGUUCUCAUGAGUGUUUGAGGCUCCAGUCACUUUUCUGAGCUUACCGUCACAGUGUUAUGUCUGAUCUAAAUUGGUCGUCUACUUGCUGAUCCCUUGAAGCCUAGGAGGUCUGUGCCUUCAGCUCCACUUAUUAAAUAAAGUUUUGUUUCAUUUUAGUUUUGUUCUUUUUUGAGCAUGACCAUCUUUAAAAUUUUUAUUUUAUAUUUAGUCUUAAUUGUUACAUUGUUUAAGGAGAGAGCAUUCUCAAAACAUGA